GAUGAACGCUGGCGGCGUGCCUAAUACAUGCAAGUCGAGCGAACAGACGAGGAGCUUGCUCCCCUGACGUUAGCGGCGGACGGGUGAGUAACACGUGGAUAACCUACCUAUAAGACUGGGAUAACUUCGGGAAACCGGAGCCAAUACCGGAUAAUAUAUUGAACCGCAGGGAUCAAUAGUGAAUGACGGCUUUGCUGUCACUUAUAGACGGAUCCGCGCCGCAUUAGCUAGUUGGUAAGGUAACGGCUUACCAAGGCAACGAUGCGUAGCCGACCUGAGAGGGUGAUCGGCCACACUGGAACUGAGACACGGUCCAGACUCCUACGGGAGGCAGCAGUAGGGAAUCUUCCGCAAUGGGCGAAAGCUUGACGGAGCAACGCCGCGUGAGUGAUGAAGGUCUUCGGAUCGUAAAGCUCUGUUAUUAGGGAAGAACAAAUGUGUAAGUAACUAUGCACGUCUUGACGGUACCUAAUCAGAAAGCCCCGGCUAACUACGUG
Molecule: ribosomal RNA, 497 nt
Filed under: uncultured bacterium
Lineage: Bacteria
Description: partial 16S ribosomal RNA
Rfam family: Bacterial small subunit ribosomal RNA
Source: RNAcentral